GAUGAACGCUGGCGGCGUGCUUAACACAUGCAAGUCGAACGGAAAGGCCCUACUUUUGUUGGGUGCUCGAGUGGCGAACGGGUGAGUAACACGUGAGUAACCUGCCCUUGACUUUGGGAUAACUUUAGGAAACUGGGGCUAAUACCGGAUAGGAGCUUCUGCUGCAUGGUGUUGGUUGGAAAGUUUCGGCGGUGGGGGCAGGUCUCGCGGGUUAUCCGCUUGUUGGUGGGGUAGUGGCUGACCAAGGGUUUGACGGGUAGGCGGCCUGAGAGGGUGACCGGGCACAUGGGGACUGAGAUAGGGACCAGAAGCGUAGGGGAGGCAAGAGGGGAGAAUAUUACACAGUGGGCAAGAGCGAGAUGCAGAGGCGGCGCGUGCGGGAAGAGCGGUUUCGGGGUAAAAACCUCUUUCGACGGAGAAGAAGCGUGAGUGACGGUAACGGGUAAAGAAGCACCGGCUAACUACGUG
RNAcentral lists this ribosomal RNA (468 nucleotides) under uncultured bacterium. RNAcentral's name for it is "partial 16S ribosomal RNA". It matches the Rfam family "Bacterial small subunit ribosomal RNA", at positions 28 to 507 of the family's 1533-position model. The record is from RNAcentral.